CGGAAAAUAUGGAAUUUGGUGAAAAUACCAAAAAUACCCUUCAGUGGCAAGUUACCGUGCAAUUCAAUCCUUUAAUCAAACUGCAUCCCUAAUAUGUAUAUGAGUAUGAAUAUAUGUCAAACUCAAUUUCAUAUUCAUAUCUUUUUCAAUCUUUUAAUGAUAAUUCAAAUAAUGAAACAUUAGAAACUCUUUCUAAUUUUCAUUCUGCUUUGAUCAAAGGCUUCCUGAAUUAUCAUAUGAUUAGAAUAAAU
Molecule: long non-coding RNA, 251 nt
Filed under: Phoenix dactylifera (date palm)
Lineage: Eukaryota; Viridiplantae; Streptophyta; Magnoliopsida; Arecales; Arecaceae
Description: long non-coding RNA (PDAC_LNC011995)
Source: RNAcentral